Molecule: ribosomal RNA, 425 nt
Filed under: uncultured prokaryote
Description: bacterial SSU rRNA
Rfam family: Bacterial small subunit ribosomal RNA
Source: RNAcentral
UAACGAAUCUUGGGCAAUGGGCGAAAGCCUGACCCAGCGACGCCGCGUGCAGGAGGAAGCCCUUCGGGGUGUAAACUGCUGUCAGGGGUUAGCAAGCGAAGAAACCUAAUACGUUUCCGAGUUGAGCAGCCCCAAAGGAAGCACCGGCUAACUCCGUGCCAGCAGCCGCGGUAAUACGGAGGGUGCAAGUGUUGUUCGGAAUCACUGGGCGUAAAGGGCGCGCAGGCGGUUUGAUAAGUCAGAGGUGAAAUUUCACAGCUUGACUGUGAAUGUGCUUUUGAUACUGUCGGUCUAGAGUUCAGAAGAGGGCAAUGGAAUUCUUGGUGUAGCGGUAAAAUGCAUAGAUAUCAAGAAGAACACCAGUUGCGAAGGCGGUUGCCUGGUCUGUAACUGACGCUCAAGCACGAAAGCGUGGGGAUCAAACA